Molecule: long non-coding RNA, 418 nt
Filed under: Helianthus annuus (common sunflower)
Lineage: Eukaryota; Viridiplantae; Streptophyta; Magnoliopsida; Asterales; Asteraceae
Source: RNAcentral
GGUCGUGUAGAUCACAGGAGCCAAAAGAGCUCUAAAAAACCCAAACCCUAGCUUACAAAAUUGAUCAAAUCAAGAAGGCAAAUCAGUUCCAAAACGAAAUUCGAGCUUAGAUUGGUGAUCUCCACUGUAAGGGGAUCAUAAGGCAAGGAAACCGGGACGUCAAGCGGACAAGCCGGUGGUGAUACGCGCUUGAAGGAAGUGCUUUGAAGGUACGUAACUAUUAGUUUCGUUACGUUAUGCAAAAAUGUGAUGCUCGUUUGUUGUGGAUGUUGAUCAAGCAAGGGAAUCAAGAACCGAACACAAGUUUUGAAUGCUUCCGCGCUAGUCUAAUCUAGUUUAAAACAUGUUGUUUUGUAAACUCUUUUGAAUGUUGAACAUUUUAAUCUAGUUAGUCGACUAUGUCGAAAUACUAUAACAA